UAAUACGUAGGGUCCUAGCGUUGUCCGGAUUUAUUGGGCGUAAAGAGCUCGUAGGCGGUUCGGCAAGUCGGAUGUGAAAUCUCCACGCUUAACGUGGAGGGGCCAUUCGAAACUGCCGUGACUCGAGUCCGGUAGGGGAGUGUGGAAUUCCCGGUGUAGCGGUGAAAUGCGCAGAUAUCGGGA
Molecule: ribosomal RNA, 183 nt
Filed under: uncultured bacterium
Lineage: Bacteria
Description: partial 16S ribosomal RNA
Rfam family: Bacterial small subunit ribosomal RNA
Source: RNAcentral